This 517-nucleotide ribosomal RNA is filed under the name uncultured bacterium. RNAcentral's name for it is "bacterial SSU rRNA". It matches the Rfam family "Bacterial small subunit ribosomal RNA", at positions 355 to 889 of the family's 1533-position model. The record is from RNAcentral.
UGGGGAAUAUUGGACAAUGGGCGCAAGCCUGAUCCAGCAAUGCCGCGUGGAUGAAGAAGGUUUUCGGAUUGUAAAGUCCUUUCGGCGGGGACGAUGAUGACGGUACCCGCAGAAGAAGCCCCGGCUAACUUCGUGCCAGCAGCCGCGGUAAUACGAAGGGGGCUAGCGUUGCUCGGAAUGACUGGGCGUAAAGGGCGCGUAGGCGGAUUGCUUUGUCAGACGUGAAAUUCCAGGGCUCAACCUUGGGUCUGCGUUUGAGACGGGUGAUCUUGAGUUCGGAAGAGGGUCGUGGAAUUCCCAGUGUAGAGGUGAAAUUCGUAGAUAUUGGGAAGAACACCGGUGGCGAAGGCGGCGACCUGGUCCGAGACUGACGCUGAGGCGCGAAAGCGUGGGGAGCAAACAGGAUUAGAUACCCUGGUAGUCCACGCUGUAAACGAUGUGCGCUGGAUGUUGGGGCCCCUAGGGCUUCAGUGUCGUAGCCAACGCGGUAAGCGCACCGCCUGGGGAGUACGGCCGC